This 498-nucleotide ribosomal RNA is filed under the name uncultured bacterium. RNAcentral describes it as "partial 16S ribosomal RNA". It matches the Rfam family "Bacterial small subunit ribosomal RNA", at positions 30 to 523 of the family's 1533-position model. The record is from RNAcentral.
AUUGAACGCUGGCGGCAUGCCUUACACAUGCAAGUCGAACGGUAACAGGUCUUCGGAUGCUGACGAGUGGCGAACGGGUGAGUAAUACAUCGGAACGUGCCUGAUCGUGGGGGAUAACGAAGCGAAAGCUUUGCUAAUACCGCAUACGAUCUACGGAUGAAAGCAGGGGACCGCAAGGCCUUGCGCGAACGGAGCGGCCGAUGGCAGAUUAGGUAGUUGGUGGGAUAAAAGCUUACCAAGCCGACGAUCUGUAGCUGGUCUGAGAGGACGACCAGCCACACUGGGAAUGAGACACGGCCCAGACUCCUACGGGAGGCAGCAGUGGGGAAUUUUGGACAAUGGGCGAAAGCCUGAUCCAGCCAUGCCGCGUGCAGGAUGAAGGCCCUCGGGUUGUAAACUGCUUUUGUACGGAACGAAAAGACUCUGGUUAAUACCUGGGGUCCAUGACGGUACCGUAAGAAUAAGCACCGGCUAACUACGUGCCAGCCGCCGCAGUAA